This 1502-nucleotide ribosomal RNA is filed under the name uncultured bacterium. Its description in RNAcentral is "partial 16S ribosomal RNA". It matches the Rfam family "Bacterial small subunit ribosomal RNA". The record is from RNAcentral.
AGAGUUUGAUCCUGGCUCAGGAUGAACGCUAGCGGCAGGCCUAACACAUGCAAGUCGAGGGGUAUUAGGAGCUUGCUCCUAAGAGACCGGCGCACGGGUGCGUAACGCGUAUGCAAUCUACCUUAUACAGGGGAAUAGCCCAGAGAAAUUUGGAUUAAUGCCCCAUGGUAUUAUAGAGUGGCAUCACUUUAUAAUUAAAGUUCCAACGGUAUAAGAUGAGCAUGCGUCCCAUUAGUUAGUUGGUAAGGUAACGGCUUACCAAGACAAUGAUGGGUAGGGGUCCUGAGAGGGAGAUCCCCCACACUGGUACUGAGACACGGACCAGACUCCUACGGGAGGCAGCAGUGAGGAAUAUUGGUCAAUGGGCGCAAGCCUGAACCAGCCAUGCCGCGUGCAGGAAGACGGUCCUAUGGAUUGUAAACUGCUUUUAUACAGGAAGAAACCCUCCCACGUGUGGGAGAUUGACGGUACUGUAGGAAUAAGGAUCGGCUAACUCCGUGCCAGCAGCCGCGGUAAUACGGAGGAUCCAAGCGUUAUCCGGAAUCAUUGGGUUUAAAGGGUCCGUAGGCGGUCUUAUAAGUCAGUGGUGAAAUCCCAUCGCUCAACGAUGGAACUGCCAUUGAUACUGUAAGACUUGAAUACUUAGGAAGUAACUAGAAUAUGUAGUGUAGCGGUGAAAUGCUUAGAUAUUACAUGGAAUACCAAUUGCGAAGGCAGGUUACUACUAAGUGAUUGACGCUGAGGAGCGAAAGCGUGGGGAGCGAACAGGAUUAGAUACCCUGGUAGUCCACGCCGUAAACGGUGGGUACUAGGUGUGGGUUUCCUUCCUUGGGAUCCGUGCCGUAGCUAACGCAUUAAGUACCCCGCCUGGGGAGUACGGCCGCAAGGCUAAAACUCAAAGAAAUUGACGGGGGCCCGCACAAGCGGCGGAGCAUGUGGAUUAAUUCGAUGCAACGCGAAGAACCUUACCUGGGUUUGACAUGCACAGGACGCCGGCAGAGAUGUCGGUUCCCUUGUGGCCUGUGUGCAGGUGGUGCAUGGCUGUCGUCAGCUCGUGUCGUGAGAUGUUGGGUUAAGUCCCGCAACGAGCGCAACCCUUGUCUCAUGUUGCCAGCACGUUAUGGUGGGGACUCGUGAGAGACUGCCGGGGUCAACUCGGAGGAAGGUGGGGAUGACGUCAAGUCAUCAUGCCCCUUAUGUCCAGGGCUUCACACAUGCUACAAUGGCCGGUACAAAGGGCUGCGAUGCCGUGAGGUGGAGCGAAUCCUUGUUAAAGCCGGUCUCAGUUCGGAUCGGGGUCUGCAACUCGACCCCGUGAAGUCGGAGUCGCUAGUAAUCGCAGAUCAGCAACGCUGCGGUGAAUACGUUCCCGGGCCUUGUACACACCGCCCGUCACGUCAUGAAAGUCGGUAACACCCGAAGCCCGUGGCCUAACCCGUAAGGGAGGGAGCGGUCGAAGGUGGGAUCGGCGAUUGGGACGAAGUCGUAACAAGGUAACCGUA